AACGUACGCUGGCGGCACGCCUAACACAUGCAAGUCGAACGAAGUAGCAAUACUUAGUGGCAGACGGGUGAGUAACAUGUAGGUAUCUGCCCUUUGGCCUGGAAUAACACGAGGAAACUUGUGCUAAUACCGGAUAAGUCUUUACGGAGAAAGCUUUAUGCACCAUUGGAUGAGCCUGCACUUGAUUAGUUUGUUGGUGGGGUAAUGGCCUACCAAGACUGUGAUCAAUAGCUGAUUUGAGAGGAUGAUCAGCCACAUUGGGACUGAGGCACGGCCCAAACUCCUACGGGAGGCAGCAGUGGGGAAUCUUGCACAAUGGAGGAAACUCUGAUGCAGCGAUGCCGCGUGAGUGAAGAAGGCCCUUGGGUUGUAAAGCUCUUUCGUCGGGGAAGAAAAUGACUGUACCCGAAUAAGAAGGUCCGGCUAACUUCGUGCCAGCAGCCGCGGUAAUACGAAGGGACCUAGCGUAGUUCGGAAUUACUGGGCUUAAAGAGUUCGUAGGUGGUUGAAAAAGUUAGUGGUGAAAUCCCAGAGCUUAACUCUGGAACUGCCAUUAAAACUUUUCAGCUAGAGUAUGAUAGAGGAAAGCAGAAUUUCUAGUGUAGAGGUGAAAUUCGUAGAUAUUAGAAAGAAUACCAAUUGCGAAGGCAGCUUUCUGGAUCAUUACUGACACUGAGGAACGAAAGCAUGGGUAGCGAAGAGGAUUAGAUACCCUCGUAGUCCAUGCCGUAAACGAUGUGUGUUAGACGUUGGAAAUUUAUUUUCAGUGUCGCAGGGAAACCGAUAAACACACCGCCUGGGGAGUACGACCGCAAGGUUAAAACUCAAAUGAAUUGACGGGGACCCGCACAAGUAGUGGAGCAUGUGGUUUAAUUCGAAGAUACGCGCAGAACCUUACCAACACUUGACAUGUUCGUCGCGACUCUAAGAGAUUAGAGUUUUCGGUUCGGCCGGACGAAACACAGGUGCUGCAUGGCUGUCGUCAGCUCGUGUCGUGAGAUGUUGGGUUAAGUCCCGCAACGAGCGCAACCCUCACUUUUAGUUGCCAUCAUUAAGUUGGGCACUCUGAAAGAACUGCCAGUGAUAAGCUGGAGGAAGGUGGGGAUGACGUCAAGUCCUCAUGGCCCUUACGUGUUGGGCUACACACGUGCUACAAUGGUAUCUACAACAGGAAGCAAGACUGCGAAGUUAAGCAAAUCCCUAAAAGAUACCUCAGUUCGGAUUGCACUCUGCAACUCGAGUGCAUGAAGCUGGAAUUACUAGUAAUCGUGGAUCAGCGUGCCACGGUGAAUGCGUUCCCGGGUCU
RNAcentral lists this ribosomal RNA (1306 nucleotides) under uncultured bacterium. RNAcentral describes it as "bacterial SSU rRNA". It matches the Rfam family "Bacterial small subunit ribosomal RNA", at positions 28 to 1381 of the family's 1533-position model. The record is from RNAcentral.